Molecule: long non-coding RNA, 681 nt
Organism: Lepus europaeus (European hare)
Lineage: Eukaryota; Metazoa; Chordata; Mammalia; Lagomorpha; Leporidae
Exons: 3
Source: RefSeq, a predicted model, not a curated record
GCGGCCUCCACCCGGAGCGGCCUUCUCCACGGCCCCGGAAGCACGGGCAUCCUGAUGCACGACCUCUGCGCUCCCACGUUCUGGAGUUGCAAGGCGUUUGCCAGCACAUUGAGGCGCAGGAAAACACAGGAGUUAGGCUUGGAAGCUCUUGGGGUGUGUGACAGGCUCGCGCCUUCCCUCAGCCGCUUAAUCUGGCCUAAUGUCGCUUUGCAUCCGGCGAAAUGGAUGUGAUUCCGCGCCCAGUCUUGCUUUCCUGAGUUGGCUUCAUUCCCAGGCAGGAUCUCCCUAUGUGGUGACAAAGAUGGCCAUCAACAGCUCCAGGUUCUAUCCUACCAAUUUAGUAACCCAGCUGAAUGCACCUCUUUCUUAAUAAUUCCUUUUGAAAUCCCAGAAUGAAGUACAAUCAAGAUCAGAAGAUUCCGCUUGACUUCAAGAAGGUUACAAAACCAGGUACGGAAAGUAUCAAGAGGAAAACAAAGGUGCUUUGGAGUGUAAAACUGUACCAGGCCUACUAAACAGUUUUUCUAUCAUGAAGAUGAAUCUAGAAAACUUGAUUUAGUUGGUUGUUUCUAUAAACUUAUGAACUGUGAAGAAAUCCACCCCACGUCAUUCUUCUAUGCUUAGUGCAUCACUUUGUUGAUAAAUACACAUUUUUAUGAAGUAAAAUAGAAAACAACCACU